CCUACGGGAGGCAGCAGUGAGGAAUAUUGGUCAAUGGGCGGGAGCCUGAUCCAGCCAAGCCGCGUGAGGGAAGAAGGUACAGCGUAUCGUAAACCUCUUUUGUCAGGGAACAAAGGCGGGGACUAGUCCCCGGAUGAGGGUACCUGAAGAAAAAGCAUCGGCUAACUCCGUGCCAGCCGCCGCGGUACUACGGGGGAUGCGAGCGUUAUCCGGAUUUAUUGGGUUUAAAGGGUGCGCAGGCGGCCUGUUAAGUCAGCGGGAAAAGCCCGGGGCGAAACCCGGGCGAGCCGUUGAAACUGGCGGGCUGGAGUUGGAGAGAGGGACGCAGAAUGCGAGGUGUAGCGGUGAAAUGCUUAGAUAUCGGGCAGAACCCCGAUUGCGAAGGCAGCGUACCGGCUCCACACUGACGCUGAGGUACGAAAGCGUGGGGAUCGAACAGGAUUAGAUACCCGAGUAGUC
RNAcentral lists this ribosomal RNA (459 nucleotides) under uncultured bacterium. RNAcentral describes it as "partial 16S ribosomal RNA". It matches the Rfam family "Bacterial small subunit ribosomal RNA", at positions 338 to 795 of the family's 1533-position model. The record is from RNAcentral.